GGGCCCAUAGCUCAGCCUGGUUAGAGCCACCGGCUCAUAACCGGUAGGUCCCUGGUUCGAAUCCAGGUGGGCCCACCA
Molecule: transfer RNA, 78 nt
Filed under: Deltaproteobacteria bacterium
Lineage: Bacteria; Pseudomonadati; Myxococcota; Myxococcia
Description: tRNA-Ile
Rfam family: tRNA
About the family: Transfer RNA (tRNA) molecules are approximately 80 nucleotides in length. Their secondary structure includes four short double-helical elements and three loops (D, anti-codon, and T loops). Further hydrogen bonds mediate the characteristic L-shaped molecular structure. tRNAs have two regions of fundamental functional importance: the anti-codon, which is responsible for specific mRNA codon recognition, and the 3' end, to which the tRNAs corresponding amino acid is attached (by aminoacyl-tRNA synthetases). tRNAs cope with the degeneracy of the genetic code in two manners: having more than one tRNA (with a specific anti-codon) for a particular amino acid; and 'wobble' base-pairing, i.e. permitting non-standard base-pairing at the 3rd anti-codon position.
Source: RNAcentral